CAGGCAUUGGACAAUGUUCCAUAAGAGGUUUGAGAGACCCUUCCAAGUAGGACAGGAGUAAAGAACAGAAAAAUGAAAUCUUCCUCAGCCCUCAGGAGCACAGAAACUGCAGUGAUCUAAGACCAGUGACUAUGACCUUCAAAGAUCUGUAUGACCCACUGCAUCUUCCCUUAACCACUUACCCAGCCCUGUAGAGAUCUGGUGACCUGAUGUAAGUUCUUUUCCCCAUUGCUUUGUUCAGUCCUUGCUUAUCCUAUGUCUUAGUUGAUGAGACACCAAUCUGAAGCUUCCCUGGAACACACAAAGAA
This is a non-coding RNA of Peromyscus maniculatus bairdii (prairie deer mouse), 308 nucleotides long. The record is from RefSeq and is a predicted model, not a curated record. Lineage: Eukaryota; Metazoa; Chordata; Mammalia; Rodentia; Cricetidae.